ACAGCAGCCGCCGCGGUAAUACAGAGGAUGCAAGCGUUAUCCGGAAUGAUUGGGCGUAAAGUGUCUGUAGGUGGCUUUUCAAGUCCGCCGUCAAAUCCCAGGGCUCAACCCUGGACAGGUGGUGGAAACUACCAAGCUGGAGUAUGGUAGGGGCAGAGGGAAUUUCCGGUGGAGCGGUGAAAUGCAUUGAGAUCGGAAAGAACACCAACGGCGAAAGCACUCUACUGGGCCGACAUUGACACUGAGAGACGAAAGGUAGGAGAGCAAAAGGGAUUAGAUACCCGAGUAGUCCCUGUCUCUUAUAC
RNAcentral lists this ribosomal RNA (305 nucleotides) under uncultured bacterium. RNAcentral describes it as "partial 16S ribosomal RNA". It matches the Rfam family "Bacterial small subunit ribosomal RNA", at positions 508 to 807 of the family's 1533-position model. The record is from RNAcentral.